CGUGUAGGCGGCUUUGCAAGUCGGGUGUGAAAUCCCUCAGCUUAACUGAGGAAGUGCGCCCGAAACUGCAGAGCUUGAGUACCGGAGAGGGUGGCGGAAUUCCCCAAGUAGAGGUGAAAUUCGUAGAUAUGGGGAGGAACACCGGUGGCGAAGGCGGCCACCUGGACGGAUACUGACGCUGAGACGCGAAAGCGUGGGGAGCAAACA
RNAcentral lists this ribosomal RNA (207 nucleotides) under uncultured delta proteobacterium. Its description in RNAcentral is "partial 16S ribosomal RNA". It matches the Rfam family "Bacterial small subunit ribosomal RNA", at positions 568 to 774 of the family's 1533-position model. The record is from RNAcentral. Lineage: Bacteria; Deltaproteobacteria.